Molecule: long non-coding RNA, 517 nt
Filed under: Chinchilla lanigera (long-tailed chinchilla)
Lineage: Eukaryota; Metazoa; Chordata; Mammalia; Rodentia; Chinchillidae
Description: lncRNA (ENSCLAG00000027296.1)
Source: RNAcentral
AGAAACUACAGGAGGUGACAGUUGGAGUUAACAUUUAUCAAAUGUUUGUUGGCUGUACUGUGGUAUUUCUUGGACAUAAAUAAGCCAUUUUAAGUGCUAAAAUUAUAGGAAAAAAUUUAGAGCUCUCAAAGUCUUGUGUUUAGAGGAAGUCAUGGCUGGGGCUGGAAUGGACAGCUGGAACAUCUUCUAGACUUGCCCCUACCCUUCCCAAGCUGAGUGUCCUGCCAGACCAGAAAAGCACAGAGCAGAGAUGGCCAUCCAGGGGAGGGCCCCCCAUCGCUGAGCUGGAGGCUGUGCAGCAGGAGAGAGCUGCAAGCCCGGUGAAGGGUGCCGUUCCCUGGCAGUUUCCUGGCUGUGCCCUGGAACAUGAAGGCUCUGAAAGAAGUUGCCCUUCCAUUUAGCUUGAAGGAGUGGGGCUGUGGCCCUGAAAGGUGAGCACAUUUACACUUUCCUAUCCUGUGACCUUCAUGGCAGACCUGUUAUCAGCGCAGGCACACAGAUACCUGCGGCAUUUAAG